RNAcentral lists this ribosomal RNA (771 nucleotides) under uncultured Neocallimastigales. RNAcentral's name for it is "partial large subunit ribosomal RNA". It matches the Rfam family "Eukaryotic large subunit ribosomal RNA", at positions 24 to 628 of the family's 3401-position model. Lineage: Eukaryota; Fungi; Neocallimastigomycota; Neocallimastigomycetes; Neocallimastigales. The record is from RNAcentral.
GUAGUCUCGCACAGAUGCAUAUCAAUAAGCGGAGGAAAAGAAACUAACAAGGAUUCCCUCAGUAACGGCGAGUGAAGCGGGAAGAGCUCAAAUUUGAAAUCUUGAAAGGUCACCUUUCACGAAUUGUAGUUUAAAGAAGUGUUUUCUGUUACGAUCGUAAUAUAAGUUCUUUGGAAUAGGACAUCACAGAGGGUGAGAAUCCCGUCCUAUGAUUGCGAUUUGUAGCUUUGUGAUACACUUUCAAAGAGUCGGGUUGUUUGGGAAUGCAGCCCAAAACGGGAGGUAAAUUUCUUCUAAGGCUAAAUAUUGGCGAGAGACCGAUAGCGAACAAGUACCGUGAGGGAAAGAUGAAAAGAACUUUGAAAAGAGAGUUAAAUAGUACGUGAAAUUGUCAAAAGGGAAGCGUUUAACACCAGUGUUGUUUUCUGAAGAUCAACCUCUGUUAGCUUUAUGCAUGUUUGUUUAGACCUAAUCAGCUAUCUUGCAUGUUCUAUUGUUUGCAGUGGUGCACUUUUCAGUUUACAGGUCAACAUCAGUUUUUUUUACCGUAAAAAGUUAAAGAAAGGUAGCUCAUGGCUCCGGUCGUGAGUGUUAUAGUCUUUUUCCUAUGCGGUAGGAGAGACUGAGGUCUGCAGUGUAGGCUAUUUGGCUAGAUACUCAGGUGCUAUGUGAUACCAUUUCAUAAACAACUUGUUGAUUAUGUUUUGUCUAUUGCAUACUCGCUUGUACUAUCAUACCUACGCUUAGGAUGUUGAGUCGUAGAGCACGCAG